AUGGAAGGUGUCAUAUGGAAUUGCAGGGGGGUAGGCAAGAAGGGAAUGGCCACCUGCCUCUCUAAUAUGAUUAGUGACCAUUCUGUGGAUUUCGAGACCAUGAAGAAAAACUUUUCUCCUGGAUGUUUGAGGAGAAUUGAUCCCUUUAGUAUAUUUAGUUGGAACUGGAUUCCCUCUGUUGGGAAGUCUGGGGGUAUAUUAUGUGGUGUUAGAAGUGAUAGUCUGGACAUCGUCUCC
Molecule: ribosomal RNA, 237 nt
Filed under: Triticum aestivum (bread wheat)
Lineage: Eukaryota; Viridiplantae; Streptophyta; Magnoliopsida; Poales; Poaceae
Description: partial small subunit ribosomal RNA
Source: RNAcentral